RNAcentral lists this ribosomal RNA (253 nucleotides) under uncultured bacterium. RNAcentral's name for it is "partial 16S ribosomal RNA". It matches the Rfam family "Bacterial small subunit ribosomal RNA", at positions 524 to 776 of the family's 1533-position model. The record is from RNAcentral.
GACGAACCGUGCGAACGUUGUUCGGAAUCACUGGGCUUAAAGGGCGCGUAGGCGGGCCGUCGCGUCCGGGGUGAAAUCCCCCCGCUCAACGGGGGGACGGCCUCGGAUACGGGCGGCCUGGAGGCGGGUAGGGGCACGCGGAACUGUGGGUGGAGCGGUGAAAUGCGUUGAGAUCCACAGGAACUCCGGUGGCGAAGGCGGCGUGCUGGACCCGUCCUGACGCUGAGGCGCGAAAGCCAGGGGAGCAAACGGG